AAUUGUAAUGUUUGAUGUUCUGUUGCAGUGGUUGCUAUACAUUAUGUGUUACCAGAGGUUGCUGGUUCGAACCCCCUCUUAGCUUAUUUUAUCAUUUUUUUUGUCUGGCACCUGCAUACAUUGUUGAUACAUAAGUGCCAUCUCUUUACUCUUGCAAAUACAGUAAUUUUUUUUCAAUCUUAUACCCACACACAUGAGAGGGGAUAGAGAACCACUCCACCGCACAGCCUCACCGGCGUCGCGGUGACUGUCACCGCCGCCGCUGACAUGAAGAUUUAGGGUUCCGCCGUGACAGAGUGUGGCGAUGGUGUUGUUAGUUGUCACCGAAGGUCAGUAACUCUGGCCAAUCGACUCAAUGGUGUUUCUGUGCAACCAAAAUCGGCGCCGAUCAGGUGUCGUUUGUCUAAAGAUGCGACUUCAAUUGGGCGUGUUGAGUAGUUACUUUAUUGCUAUUGAUCAUUCAGUAAUACCGGAUGCGACUAAACCACUAAUCCACUGAGCUUUUCCAGAUGUAUAACAUCAUCAGCAAACUAUACAUAAAAAGACCCAAGACUGAAGAAAAAGGAUAGGAAACAGGGUAAAAUUCUUAUUCUAAAGAUGCCUAACAAUCAUAUCAACUCUGAAGACGGAAAACAGGAUAUUUAUUUGGCUUAUAAAAAUGCGGUCUGAUGGUGGGGUCUCUAAGAUGUCUAUUUGGUGGCAUGGGCAUAUGGAUAUGGAUCACCAUAAUCAGCUCCAGUAGAUGGAUGUCCCGCUAACAUGGCCGAAUGAAACAGGUCGUUCGAUUUCACCUAUGACGUUUUGCUGGAAUUGUUACGUUCCAUGUUUUGUUGGUUCCGGUCCGGUUUCGACCCCAGGUUGGCCUAUUUUUUCCCAAUUCUUAUUUUUAUUUUACAUGUGUCAGAUUUAAAUAGCGUACAGGUGUUGUUGUCUUUGUAAAAUAGUGGCCUCCGUUGUGGGUUUGGUUUCCACAGAAAAAAUUGGGUCAACAUGUUAUAGAAAAUUUUAUUUUAUUUUGUAUCAUCUUACCUAUUGAAUAUACGAAGUGAAAUAACAGGCCAUUGUACAUUUAAAAAAACUGGCGCAACGCAUUAUUUCGUAACGCGUUUCCGUUGACGUGCAGUGUUGAUGAUCACUAUGUGUUUAUACAUGUAUGUAUGUCUUGAUCA
Long non-coding RNA from Helianthus annuus (common sunflower), 1169 nucleotides. RefSeq lists it as uncharacterized. The transcript is spliced from 6 exons. The record is from RefSeq and is a predicted model, not a curated record. NCBI's taxonomy places the organism in Eukaryota, Viridiplantae, Streptophyta, Magnoliopsida, Asterales, Asteraceae.